GCUCCCUUCAAAGAGCCAUAAAUCCCAUCUCUACAACCAACAUGGCGCUGGACUGCGGCUAUCCCGAGUGUGACGUCAGCUGACACAGACGGGUUGUGUCGUUCAUGGAUUUUAUUCUGGAACUUCCUGUAAACCCGGAAAUGUCUUGUUUUGAAAGGGUUGUAGCUCAAACGGUUUAAAGUGUAUUUCACGGAGCUAAAAUGCGUCAUAAGACGCAAUAAAAAGCACAGAACCAGCCUUAGCACCAGUCGAAACAGGCAUCAAGAAAGCCGUGCACGUGCAGCAGAUGAGACUUUGUGGAAAAAUGAGUGGAGCAGUGAGACGUGGUUCUCCAGUGGAAGUCAUGGAUCAGCAGGAGCAGCCAUCUUAAAAGCUCCAUUUAAAGCGUGACCUUCCAUCUCCACACACAACUAUUCUCCUGACUGGUCAAGACUGGAAAAUGUCCUUCUUCACCAAAAGAGCUCCAAACGUUGUGAAAGCAGACGAUGUUGAGGAAGGGAUCAUCUCUGCCUUCUGCACUGACUUUGUCUUCAAGCUGGCAAACCCGAGACACCUGAAGACACACUGACGUUCCUCCAGAGGUGCAUGGUGGUGACCAACCUCUGCCAAGAACUGUUAACAGGACCAUAAAUCUUCUUUAUUCACUCCAUUAUGCCGCAUACCUAGCAGUGCUUCUAAUGCUCCAGGAGAGAAUCUACCUUAAAUUAAUUCAGCACAAAGGACUUUAUAGAAUUUAUUAUUAUUGUUUUAUGGUAUAAAGUUAGAGGAAGAAAAACUGUAGAACAGAUGAUGAUGUUUGUUGUGAUUUCAUCUUUCAUUCUGUUGCAUGUUUGUGUGUGAAUGACGCCUAACAAAGCUUCUUUAUUUUCAUCACUGGCUGAAAUAAAUGAAACUAAUGACAAUAAAACCACCAAUAGAUGGAGGCCUGAGAAACGUAGGAAAGACCAGAACUGUUAGUUCCACAUGUGUCUGAUCAUCCAGUGUGUAACAGCAACGAGCAACGCAAAGCAACAUGUUUAGUUUUUUCUAGAAGUUUCUUUGUAACAUGCUCCAUCAUACAAGUACAACAUGCAUGUAAGCUGAGCCCCGUCCAGACUGUGAAGUAUAAGUGUAAGAAUAGUAGAACACACACACUUUCUGCUGCUGUUUUCAUGGUUUUCAGUGUGUCUUUCUGCAGGUGCUCCUGAUGAUUGUCUGCUGUGUUUUCAUAUAAAGGCCGUAGGAUGUUUUCUGUUUCUCUACCGGUGUUGCAGCUGGUUGUUCUAUUGUUUCUGUUGUUUCUAUCUUUGUCCUCUCUCCACUUUUUACUCUCCUUUUCUCUUCUGUUUAAUUCAAUCCAGCUUUAUUUGUACAGCAGCUCUUUACAACAAAGUCCUCUCAGGGCUCCUUUCUGUCAUAUCCUGUGUCAGGUCCAGCUUUUAAAUCUUUAUUCAGCAAGAAACUAAUAAAAGAAAUGAAUAAUACUGAAGUAUCAGAGGAGCCUUAUAUGUCGUGGUCAUAGGUGAUGUUCUUGGUUUUGUCAUGUUUACUUUAGUUUCCAGUUUUGUUGGUUCCCGUGUGUGUUGUGUGUUUUGUUUGCGGCUCGUUAGUUCACCUGGUCUGAUUGCUCCCUCACUUCACCUGUUCCCUGUUAGUCGUCCUCUGUUUAUUUACGCCUUGGUUUCUCUGACUCGGUGCCAGAUCAUUGUUGUUGUUUCGUGUUCAGUCUGUAUCGGUUUCCUUGUUCCUUGAUAUUAAAUCCUGGAUAAUGGCG
Long non-coding RNA from Melanotaenia boesemani (Boeseman's rainbowfish), 1753 nucleotides. RefSeq lists it as uncharacterized. NCBI's taxonomy places the organism in Eukaryota, Metazoa, Chordata, Actinopteri, Atheriniformes, Melanotaeniidae. The transcript is spliced from 3 exons. The record is from RefSeq and is a predicted model, not a curated record.